Molecule: ribosomal RNA, 75 nt
Filed under: Clostridiales bacterium
Lineage: Bacteria; Bacillati; Bacillota; Clostridia; Eubacteriales
Source: RNAcentral
AACACAGAAGUUAAGCUCUCUAGUGCCGAUGGUACUAGGACCGAAAGGUCCUGGGAGAGUAGGUCGUUGCCGGGU